UGGGGAAUAUUGCACAAUGGAGGGAACUCUGAUGCAGCGACGCCGCGUGAGUGAUGAAGGAAUUCGUUUCGUAAAACUCUGUUCUAUGGGAAGAAAAGGACUGUACCAUAGGAGAAAGCUCCGGCUAAAUACGUGCCAGCAGCCGCGGUAAUACGUAUGGAGCGAGCGUUGUCCGGAAUUAUUGGGCGUAAAGGGUGCGCAGGCGGCUUUACAAGUUGGAUGUGAAAUAUUGUGGCUCAACCACAAACGUGCAUCCAAAACUUCAAAGCUUGAGUUAAGGAGAGGUAAGUGGAAUUCCUGGUGUAGCGGUGGAAUGCGUAGAUAUCAGGAGGAAUACCGGUGGCGAAGGCGACUUACUGGACUUAAACUGACGCUCAGGCACGAAAGCGUGGGGAGCAAACAGG
This 404-nucleotide ribosomal RNA is filed under the name Fusobacteriota bacterium. Its description in RNAcentral is "Fusobacteria bacterium partial 16S ribosomal RNA". It matches the Rfam family "Bacterial small subunit ribosomal RNA", at positions 355 to 776 of the family's 1533-position model. Lineage: Bacteria; Fusobacteriati; Fusobacteriota. The record is from RNAcentral.